MicroRNA precursor from Chlorocebus sabaeus (green monkey), 110 nucleotides. NCBI's taxonomy places the organism in Eukaryota, Metazoa, Chordata, Mammalia, Primates, Cercopithecidae. The record is from Ensembl.
UACCCUGGGGAACUGAGGAGUCUGCUCCUGUGGCUUCCACGACCUAAUCCUAACUCCAGGGACUCGCAGGAGUUAGGAUUAGGUCGUGGAAGCCAGAGGCGCCUGGGCGC